Molecule: ribosomal RNA, 253 nt
Filed under: uncultured bacterium
Lineage: Bacteria
Description: partial 16S ribosomal RNA
Rfam family: Bacterial small subunit ribosomal RNA
Source: RNAcentral
UACGAAGGGGGCUAGCGUUGCUCGGAAUCACUGGGCGUAAAGGGUGCGUAGGUGGCGCUGUAAGUCAGGUGUGAAAUUUCGGAGCUUAACUCCGAAACUGCAUUUGAUACUGCGGUGCUUGAGGACUGGAGAGGAGACUGGAAUUUACGGUGUAGCAGUGAAAUGCGUAGAUAUCGGAAGGAAGACCAGUGGCGAAGGCGGGUCUCUGGACAGUUCCUGACACUGAGGCACGAAGGCCAGGGGAGCAAACGGG